UUGUUUAAUAAAUUGAGAGCAGUAGAAGUAGAGAUAGAUGCAAUUAAAGAUGGCUUUGAACAUUUGGAACGCUUUAGAAGAAAUGAGGAGGAAUUCUCUGAUACUGAUGAUUGCAGCGAGGCAACGCAUACAGAGAAUGAGCAAAGGACAAUUCAGGCACCUCUGGAUGAUUCAAACCUUCAACAUGCUUUAGCUGAUGAUCGUCUAAGAAGUCUUCUUGAAACAAAGGCUCAACUCAGGGAAGAACUUUCAAUUUUUGCUAAUGAUACUUCAUCUGAUGCAUUGAUAAGAGCUCUUGUUAAGG
RNAcentral lists this unclassified non-coding RNA (304 nucleotides) under Hevea brasiliensis (rubber tree). Lineage: Eukaryota; Viridiplantae; Streptophyta; Magnoliopsida; Malpighiales; Euphorbiaceae. The record is from RNAcentral.